Molecule: long non-coding RNA, 984 nt
Organism: Acipenser ruthenus (sterlet)
Lineage: Eukaryota; Metazoa; Chordata; Actinopteri; Acipenseriformes; Acipenseridae
Exons: 4
Source: RefSeq, a predicted model, not a curated record
UCUUUCUCAUUGUUGGCUGCUUGUGAUUUAAAUAAUCCAUGCAAUGUACUUUUACAUAGUUUUUUAGGCUGGCACGUGGGCUGUAAAUUAUGAGUGAUCAUAAUAAAAACGAUAUCACCACAGCACAGCGUGGCUACAAACGCUACCUGGCUGACCAAAUGGAUGUUCCAGGAAGAACACUUAGACGAUGGAAAAGGAUAAGGCAAGUAGCUUCACUAGUGUUUAAUUUAUUAAAGCUGUUCAGUCAUAAUACGAUAGUAUAUAUUCUAAACCUUUAUUUUUAUUUUAUAGGAACAAGGAACAAUCAAGUCAAGCAGAAACAACGGGUUCUUUAACACAUGACGAGAUUCGUACUGUAAGCAACAUUGAAGAUGAUGACAGUCUAGAAACUGAUGAAGACGUUGAUGUACCAGAAUCCAGUAAUCUAGUAGAAGAAGGGGAACCUGAAAUAACCCCAAGUGAACAGGAUAAUGCAGAUCUUGAGUCAAUUACCACGGAACAGGACAUUGAGAAUCCUGGCAGUGAACCUUUUCAUUCUCUUGAUGAAUCUACACAAAAAAAGUACCUGCAAGAGGAUGACAAAGUGUAUUCGUCUCAACAACAGAAUGGCCUGCUGCUCAUGGCAUUGAAAAUGAAGCACAAGCUUACCAAGGAAGCAGUCUCUGACAUGCUGGACAUUAUUAAUCUAUUGGCUGGUAAAGACACUGUACCACAAUCUUGGUACCACUUAGAAAAACAGUUUGAAGGUUUAAAAGAUUUUGUAGAAAUACAUCAUGUUUGCAAUUUCUGUGAAUCUUACUUAGGUAAAGAAACCUCUGAGAAAUGCACUUACUGUGAGAAAGAGUGGAUAGAGCAAAGGAGUCUGAAAGAAGGAAACUUUUUCUUUCAUUUGCCUUUACAUGCACAGAUCAAAGCAUUUUUAGAGGACCCUGAAUUGUCACAAAAGGUAGUAAGAAAUAGACAUGGCUUCCAGUCACAGACAUU